GCAACGGAUCUCUUGGCUCUCGCAUCGAUGAAGAACGCAGCGAAAUGCGAUAAGUAAUGUGAAUUGCAGAAUUCAGUGAAUCAUCGAAUCUUUGAACGCACCUUGCGCCUCUUGGUAUUCCGAGAGGCAUGCCUGUUUGAGUGUCAUUAAAUUCUCAACUUCAAAAGCUUUUGUCUUUUUGAAGCUUGGAUGGUGAAGGCUUGCUGGCGUUUUAAAUGUCUCAGCUCCUUUGAAAAGUAUUAGUGGACCCGUUUGUGUUCAUUCCUUAGUGUGAUAAUUAUCUACGCUGUGGUCUUUGAAUGCAUGCUCAUUAAAAUCUUUCGAGCUGUUGUUUUUACUACAGUCUCGGUGUGGAGAGUUGCAUGAAUUUGCUCUUUCUGUCUCUUGAGUCAGGAUUGUCUGCUUCAAACCGUCUACACAUUGUAGACAAUUUUGAACCAUUUGACCUCAAUCAGGUAGGACUACCCGCUGAACUUAAGCAUAUCAUAAGCGGAGGA
RNAcentral lists this ribosomal RNA (497 nucleotides) under uncultured Agaricales. Its description in RNAcentral is "eukaryotic LSU rRNA". The stretch from base 1 to 146 matches the Rfam family "5.8S ribosomal RNA". The record is from RNAcentral. Lineage: Eukaryota; Fungi; Basidiomycota; Agaricomycetes; Agaricales.